CAAAGUUGGAAGUGGAGCUAGAAGGUGGGGUCGUAUCGUUCGGUAAAAUCUUACUUCGACGGACGGAAAAGCGGAACGUCAUCGUCAGGAAUAAAUCCACCAUACCGCUCUACUGGAGGUUGGACUUAAUCGAGGGAGUCGUCGAUGGUCAGGUGACGCUAUACCCUGAACGGGGCGUCGUCGAACCCCUCGGUAUCCGGCGCAUCGAAUGUCGAUAUCAUGCCAGUUUGGUAGGUGUCAAGGAAAAGAAGGUCCUUAGAUUCCAAGUAUUUCUCGACGCUGACGACGGGGAACCAUUGCUCACAGAUCUAAUAACCGUUUCUGGAGAGACCUACGACGUAAAGGUGGAUGUCACCAAUGCCAGCCCCAUUGAUUUCAAGAUCGUUAGCGUGGGGACCACCGCAGUCGAGACUGUUUCCAUAACGAAUCGAGGACCGUGCGACGUCGAAUUUAUCGUCCGUCCCAACAAUCCUGUGAGCUUGGCCGGACUGAAAUUGAGUUUACCACCCAGUACCCUGAGUACGGACUUUGAAUUAGAGCCGACGAAGGGAUCCUUGUCGCCCGGAGCAUCUUCUUCUAUAGUGGUCAAGUUUACACCGCGUGGCGAAUUCACGGUGUUCGAAGCCCCCUUGCUGCUGUGUCAUUUGGUCGACGUUGAACAAAAGACCCCCACCUCAGUUGCGGAAUUUCCACUUCUCGUAUCGGUCAGCGCUCACUACUCAAAAUUCAAAAUCUGCCCCAGCUCGUUUCUCAACUUUGGAUCUAUGGCAC
Molecule: unclassified non-coding RNA, 771 nt
Filed under: Athalia rosae (coleseed sawfly)
Lineage: Eukaryota; Metazoa; Arthropoda; Insecta; Hymenoptera; Athaliidae
Description: misc RNA ENSAEAG00005003973.1
Source: RNAcentral